CCUACGGGCGGCAGCAGUCGAGAAUCAUUCACAAUGGGGGAAACCCUGAUGGUGCGACGCCGCGUGGGGGAAUGAAGGUCUUCGGAUUGUAAACCCCUGUCAUGUGGGAGCAAAUUAAAAAGAUAGUACCACAAGAGGAAGAGAUGGCUAACUCUGUGCCAGCAGCCGCGGUAAUACAGAGGUCUCAAGCGUUGUUCGGAAUCACUGGGCGUAAAGCGUGCGUAGGCUGUUUCGUAAGUCGGGUGUGAAAGGCGCGGGCUCAACCCGCGGACGGCACAGGAUACUGCGAGACUAGAGUAAUGGAGGGGGAGCCGGAAUUCUGGGGGUAGGAGGGAAAGGCGUAGA
This 345-nucleotide ribosomal RNA is filed under the name uncultured bacterium. Its description in RNAcentral is "partial 16S ribosomal RNA". It matches the Rfam family "Bacterial small subunit ribosomal RNA", at positions 338 to 694 of the family's 1533-position model. The record is from RNAcentral.